Rhipicephalus sanguineus (brown dog tick) is the source of this 619-nucleotide long non-coding RNA. RefSeq lists it as uncharacterized. Lineage: Eukaryota; Metazoa; Arthropoda; Arachnida; Ixodida; Ixodidae. The transcript is spliced from 3 exons. The record is from RefSeq and is a predicted model, not a curated record.
GAUGGCCAGAGGAAGGAUGAUAGACAGGUAUCUUGCAGAAGAAGAUGGGAGCGUUCUACCUGUGAGCCUGGUCGAGCUUAUAUUUUAUGGAUACACAUGCAUGGAUACACAUACAUGGAUUCCCUACAAGGACCCUGCGCAUCAAAAGCAAUCUGUCAUCAAUGUUAAGUAGACAGAUUAAACGAAACGAAGAUAUGACAGGUGUACACCAUAUUUUUCUUUCAUUUAACCUCUGCAUGUUUCCCAGUCAAUAAAUGUUUUUAUCCAUUUUCUUUUGUUGAGAAAUGUCUUUGUACAGCACAAGUGUCGUAGAAGGUGCAUACAUGCACUUUUGUAUGAUGCUUGGCUGCAUGUGUAUCAACCAGCAAACACAUUGUCAGGCACAACUAAUAUGUGAUUCCGUACUAUCAUCCGGACAUAUCAUAAAUCUUAUCAUGCACUGUAAUAGUUCUGUUUCAGGAAUGUUAUGAAUGUCAUUGGCCACGAAGCACAAGCUUGGCCGAGGGUCAUUGCAAACAGGAUGUUUCAUACUCACAAGAAAGUCACUCAUAAGGACACAUUAGAAUGACGGUGGCCAAUAUGUUUUUGAAUGACAUUAUGAGUACAUUAAAACAAUUCU